AUGGGUAACACCAUCUGGAGGACCGAACCAAUAAGCGUUGAAAAGCUUCUGGAUGACCUGAGGGUGGGGGUGAAAGGCUAAUCAAACUUGGAGAUAGCUCGUACUCCCCGAAAUGCAUUUAGGUGCAGCCUUGACUUAUACUGGCAUGAGGUAGAGCGACUGAUAAGAUGCGAGGGCUUCACCGCCUAUCAAGUCUUGACAAACUCCGAAUGCGUGUCAGUUCUAUGUCAGGAGUGAGGGCAUGGGUGCUAAGGUCCAUGUCCUAAAGGAGAACAAUCCGGACCAACAGCUAAGGUCCCGAAAUGAAUACUAAGUUGAACUAACGAAGUCAGAUUGCUAAGACAGCUAGGAUGUUGGCUUGGAAGCAGCCAUUCAUUUAAAGAGUGCGUAACAGCUCACUAGUCGAGGAGUUUGGCGUGGAUAAUAAUCGGGCAUAAGUAUUCUACCGAAGCUUUGGGAUGAGAAAUCAUCGGUAGGGGAGCAUUCCACUCGGCGUCGAAGGUGAAGCGCGAGCUUUGCUGGAGCGUGUGGAAAAGCAAAUGUAGGUAUAAGUAACGAUAAAGGGGGUGGGAAACCCCCUCGCCGAAAGACUAAGGUUUCCUGAUCAACGCUAAUCGGAUCAGGGUAAGUCGGGUCCUAAGGCUCAGCCGAACGGCGAGGCCGAUGGCAGAACCGGUUAAUAUUCCGGUACUACCUGUGGGAGUGACGUGGAGACGGAGUCGUGACAGCGCCGCGGACUGACGGAAUAGUCCGUUGAAGGGUGUAGAUGCUGAUUGUUCCAGGCAAAUCCGGAGCAAGAGUCGAACCUGACAGUAUGGAGCGUUCUUAGAACAAUCCAAUAGUGCGUGUAAUCAUACUUCCAAGAAAAUCCGCUAAACUUAAUCCUGCAGGUACCCGUACCGCAAACGGACACACGUAGUCGGGUUGAAUAUACUAAGGCGCUUGAGUGAUUCACGGUUAAGGAACUAGGCAAACUGACCCUGUAACUUCGGGAUAAAGGGUCCUCGCUUUACGGCGAGGCGCAGAGAAUAGGUCCAGGCAACUGUUUAACAAAAACACAGGGCUGUGCAAAAUUGAAAGAUGAAGUAUACAGCCUGACACCUGCCCGGUGCUGGAAGGUUAAGAGGAGAUGUCAUCGCAAGAGAAGCAUUGAAUUGAAGCCCCAGUAAACGGCGGCCGUAACUAUAACGGUCCUAAGGUAGCGAAAUUCCUUGUCGGGUAAGUUCCGACCUGCACGAAUGGUGUAAUGAUCUGGACGCUGUCUCAACCGUGAGCUCAGUGAAAUUGUAGUAUCGGUGAAGAUGCCGAUUACCCGCGAUGGGACGAAAAGACCCCGUGAACCUUUACUAUAGCUUAACAUUGAAUUUGGGUAAUUGAU
RNAcentral lists this ribosomal RNA (1378 nucleotides) under human gut metagenome. RNAcentral's name for it is "bacterial LSU rRNA". It matches the Rfam family "Bacterial large subunit ribosomal RNA", at positions 752 to 2135 of the family's 2925-position model. The record is from RNAcentral.